Molecule: long non-coding RNA, 260 nt
Organism: Humulus lupulus (European hop)
Lineage: Eukaryota; Viridiplantae; Streptophyta; Magnoliopsida; Rosales; Cannabaceae
Exons: 3
Source: RefSeq, a predicted model, not a curated record
AUAGUGGUUCUCAAGAUGGAAGAGAUGAAGAUGAUGAGGAUGAUUACGAAGAGGCUGGUGGUAGUAAUCGGCUUUUGGGAUUUAUGUUUGGCAAUGUUGAUAACUCUGGCGACCUCGAUGUUGAUUACCUUGAUGAGGACGCGAAAGAGCAUCUUUCUGCUCUGGCUGACAAGCUGGGGUCAUCCUUAACAGAUAUAGACGUAUGGAACUCAAUCAAUCCUAUGUUUUCCUUAGUACUAGCUUUAUUUGAGUUGAAUAAU